RNAcentral lists this ribosomal RNA (1423 nucleotides) under uncultured bacterium. RNAcentral describes it as "bacterial SSU rRNA". It matches the Rfam family "Bacterial small subunit ribosomal RNA". The record is from RNAcentral.
AUAAACGCUGGCGGCGUGCCUAACACAUGCAAGUCGAACGCACUCUUGCAAGAGAGUGAGUGGCGGACGGGUGAGUACCACGUGGGUACCUACCUUGAGGUGAGGAAUACCACCGAGAAAUCGGUGACAAUACCGCAUACGCUCGUAAGAGCAAAGUCUCUUUUCGGAGAGACGCCCCAAGAUGGGCCUGCGCCUGAUUAGCUGGUUGGUGAGGUAAAAGCUCACCAAGGCGACGAUCAGUAGCUGGUCUGAGAGGAUGAUCAGCCACACUGGGAUUGAGAACGGCCCAGACUCCUACGGGGGGCAGCAGUGAGGAAUUUUCGUCAAUGGGGGCAACCCUGAACGAGCAACGCCGCGUGCAGGAUGACACUUUUCGGAGCGUAAACUGCUUUUCUGGGGGAAGAGACCGGACGGUACCCCAGGAAGAAGCCCCGGCUAACUACGUGCCAGCAGCCGCGGUAAUACGUAGGGGGCAAGCGUUGUCCGGAGUUACUGGGCGUAAAGCGCCCGCAGGCGGUCUUCUAAGUUCAGACUGACAAUCCCCAGCUUAACUGGGGAGGGUGUAUGAAAACUAGGAGACUUGAGGCAGAGAGAGGGACAGGGAAUUCCGGGUGGAGUGGUGAAAUGCGUAGAUAUCCGGAGGAACACCAAAGGCGAAGGCACUGUCCUGGCUCUGACCUGACGCUGAGGGGCGAAAGCUAGGGGAGCGAACGGGAUUAGAUACCCCGGUAGUCCUAGCCGUAAACGAUGACCACUAGAUGUUCGGGGUAUCGACCCCCUGAGUAUCGAAGCCAACGCGAUAAGUGGUCCGCCUGGGGAGUACGGUCGCAAGAUUAAAACUCAAAGGAAUUGACGGGGACCCGCACAAGCAGCGGAGCGUGUGGUUUAAUUCGAUGCAACGCGAAGAACCUUACCAGGAUUUGACAUGACCCUGACGAUGCUAGAGAUAGCACUUCCUUCGGGACAGGGUCACAGGUGCUGCAUGGCUGUCGUCAGCUCGUGCCGUGAGGUGUUGGGUUAAGUCCCGCAACGAGCGCAACCCUCGUGGGUAGUUGUAAUUUUCUACUCAGACUGCCGCGAUCAACGUGGAGGAAGGUGGGGAUGACGUCAAGUCAGCACGGCCCUUACAUCCUGGGCGACACACACGCUACAAUGGCACGGACAAUGAGUUGCGAACCCGCGAGGGGGAGCCAAUCUCCUCAAACCGUGUCUCAGUUCAGAUUGGAGGCUGCAACCCGCCUCUAUGAAGUUGGAGUUGCUAGUAACCGUAGGUCAGCACACUACGGUGAAUACGUUCCCGGGUCUUGUACACACCGCCCGUCACACCACGAAAGUCGGCAACCCCUGAAGCCGCUGGGCUAACCCGUAAGGGAGGCAAGCGUCGAGGGUGGGGUCGGUGAUUGGGGUGAAGUCGUAACAAGGU